RNAcentral lists this long non-coding RNA (205 nucleotides) under Elaeis guineensis (African oil palm). Its description in RNAcentral is "long non-coding RNA (EGUI_LNC062028)". Lineage: Eukaryota; Viridiplantae; Streptophyta; Magnoliopsida; Arecales; Arecaceae. The record is from RNAcentral.
GUAUCUAGGUCUAGGGCUCUUUCUUUCUUCUCUCUCCUUUUUCUCUUAAAAAAAAAUGAAACAAAAACAAAACUUGAAUCAUACAUUAGGGUUUGCACUGGUAUAUGCAAGGUAGAAGAUCUCUCUAUCCUGACCUAGUUGAACCCAAUCCUGAGAUUGAACGGUUGAUUCAUAUUAAAUCUGAAAAUCAGAUGGCUGGAGAUCC